CCUACGGGUGGCUGCAGUGAGGAAUAUUGGUCAAUGGCCGUAAGGCUGAACCAGCCAAGUCGCGUGAAGGAAGAAGGAUCUAUGGUUUGUAAACUUCUUUUAUAGGGGAAUAAAGGUAUCCACGUGUGGAGAUUUGCAUGUACCCGAUGAAUAAGCAUCGGCUAACUCCGUGCCAGCAGCCGCGGUAAUACGGAGGAUGCGAGCGUUAUCCGGAUUUAUUGGGUUUAAAGGGUGCGUAGGUGGUUUUUUAAGUCAGCGGUGAAAGUUUGUGGCUCAACCAUCAGAUUGCCGUUGAAACUGGAUGACUUGAGUGUGUUUGAGGUAGGCGGAAUGCGUGGUGUAGCGGUGAAAUGCAUAGAUAUCACGCAGAACUCCGAUUGCGAAGGCAGCUUACCAAGCCAUAACUGACACUGAUGCACGAAAGCGUGGGGAUCGAACAGGAUUAGAUACCCGGGUAGUC
RNAcentral lists this ribosomal RNA (460 nucleotides) under uncultured bacterium. Its description in RNAcentral is "partial 16S ribosomal RNA". It matches the Rfam family "Bacterial small subunit ribosomal RNA", at positions 338 to 795 of the family's 1533-position model. The record is from RNAcentral.